GAUGAACGCUGGCGGCGUGCCUAAUACAUGCAAGUCGAGCGAACAGACGAGGAGCUUGCUCCUCUGACGUUAGCGGCGGACGGGUGAGUAACACGUGGAUAACCUACCUAUAAGACUGGGAUAACUUCGGGACACCGGAGCUAAUACCGGAUAAUAUAUUGAACCGCAUGGUUCAAUAGUGAAAGACGGUUUUGCUGUCACUUAUAGAUGGAUCCGCGCCGCAUUAGCUAGUUGGUAAGGUAACGGCUUACCAAGGCAACGAUGCGUAGCCGACCUGAGAGGGUGAUCGGCCACACUGGAACGGAGACACGGUCCAGACUCCUACGGGAGGCAGCAGUAGGGAAUCGUCCGCAAUGGGCGAAAGCCUGACGGAGCAACGCCGCGUGAGUGAUGAAGGUCUUCGGAUCGUAAAACUCUGUUAUUAGGGAAGAACAAAUGUGUAAGUAACUAUGCACGUCUUGACGGUACAUAAUCAGAAAGCCACGGCUAACUACGUG
This 497-nucleotide ribosomal RNA is filed under the name uncultured bacterium. RNAcentral's name for it is "partial 16S ribosomal RNA". It matches the Rfam family "Bacterial small subunit ribosomal RNA", at positions 28 to 507 of the family's 1533-position model. The record is from RNAcentral.